GAAGCCGUAACCCCUGAACACCGCCCUUGCACGGCGGAGGUCAGGGGUUCGGAUCCCCUCGGCUCCA
Molecule: transfer RNA, 67 nt
Filed under: Actinomycetota bacterium
Lineage: Bacteria; Bacillati; Actinomycetota
Description: tRNA-Pro
Rfam family: tRNA
About the family: Transfer RNA (tRNA) molecules are approximately 80 nucleotides in length.
Source: RNAcentral